RNAcentral lists this ribosomal RNA (596 nucleotides) under Trichoderma sp. RNAcentral's name for it is "eukaryotic LSU rRNA". It matches the Rfam family "Eukaryotic large subunit ribosomal RNA", at positions 34 to 653 of the family's 3401-position model. The record is from RNAcentral. Lineage: Eukaryota; Fungi; Ascomycota; Sordariomycetes; Hypocreales; Hypocreaceae.
UUAAGCAUAUCAAUAAGCGGAGGAAAAGAAACCAACAGGGAUUGCCCCAGUAACGGCGAGUGAAGCGGCAACAGCUCAAAUUUGAAAUCUGGCCCCUAGGGUCCGAGUUGUAAUUUGUAGAGGAUGCUUUUGGUGAGGUGCCGCCCGAGUUCCCUGGAACGGGACGCCGCAGAGGGUGAGAGCCCCGUCUGGCUGGCCACCGAGCCUCUGUAAAGCUCCUUCAACGAGUCGAGUAGUUUGGGAAUGCUGCUCAAAAUGGGAGGUAUAUGUCUUCUAAAGCUAAAUAUUGGCCAGAGACCGAUAGCGCACAAGUAGAGUGAUCGAAAGAUGAAAAGCACCUUGAAAAGAGGGUUAAACAGUACGUGAAAUUGUUGAAAGGGAAGCGCUUGUGACCAGACUUGGGCGCGGCGGAUCAUCCGGGGUUCUCCCCGGUGCACUUCGCCGCGUUCAGGCCAGCAUCAGUUCGGCGCGGGGGAAAAAGGCUUCGGGAACGUGGCUCCUCCGGGAGUGUUAUAGCCCGUUGCAUAAUACCCUGUGCUGGACUGAGGACCGCGCAUCUGCAAGGAUGCUGGCGUAAUGGUCACCAGCGACCCGUC